This is a long non-coding RNA of Spinacia oleracea (spinach), 2006 nucleotides long. RefSeq lists it as uncharacterized. The transcript has 2 exons. The record is from RefSeq and is a predicted model, not a curated record. NCBI's taxonomy places the organism in Eukaryota, Viridiplantae, Streptophyta, Magnoliopsida, Caryophyllales, Amaranthaceae.
UAAUCUCACCAUCAUCCAUAAAUAAUCGACAACUAUAAAGCUUGUUUCAGCUAUAAGUUUAUCUAUAAAGCAUGAAAUGCAGUUAAUUAAUUCCAUAUGAAAUUACCUUGCAUUUGGCAAUAGUGUCAAAGUCUCAUUUCUCGGCCUGGUUGUCACCAUUGCCACCAGAAUCAUCAGUAAUCUACAAAAAGCAUUUUAAUAUGUAAAUUAGAUAUGCCACAUUUCAGGUAAUGAUACAUGAUGCUCAAUCAGAAUAAUUUCCAGAAAUAACUAACCAUAUUUAUUGCUGAUUCCGCACCAUCUAAAAGGUUCGAUGAAACAUUCCCUUUGCGUACUUCCUUCAAAACUUGUCCCAAAAAAGAAGCAAUCAUUUUAAAUGAUUGUGUUGUUUCUUCAAACUUGGUGUUUAGAACUUGAUUUUGUUGCGCAAGGUCCUCAUUUUGCUUCUUGACAACUGAUAUUUCACCUUUCAUGUUCUCCACUUCCAUAGCAUUGUUGUUAACAUAGCUUGACCCUUCUUUCCUCAGCAAACCUUCCACUCCAAAGAUGUCGCUUUGCUUCACUCCAAAUCCAUAAUUCAGAGGACGUUUAGGUACUUCACCUUUAUACAUGAGCUCAUUAAAGACUGCAUUCUCAAUUUCAAUUACGGGCUUUGAAGAAGAGGAACUCGCAAGAUUUUCUUGGACCUUUUUGUUGGCAUCCUCCUGUUAUAUAAUAUGAAAAGAUCACUCAAAAUCUAUUAACCAAGAAUACUAUGUACAAGCAAAGAAAAAAAUAAAUAGACUUCAAGAGACAAGAUUGAUUUAUAGAAUUAGCUCAAUGCAAUGAUACCACAAAUUGAUGAGGAAGUGUGCCCUCUUUAAAGCUUCCAUCUUCUUUGGCGUAAACUGAUUUGAAAAAUGCCAAUUCGCUAAACACUCCUUUCUUCUCUUUCUGCAAUUUCAGGAAAAAAAUAAAUUGAAAACUGAAAUUUUGAAGUUCUUAAACCGACUAUCACUAUAUUUGUUUAACACUUUGAGUUGUUAUCCCCGUAGUAGGGUUGCUGGGUGCAUUGCCACUUUGCAAGGGGUGACAGAGUCGGCAACAGAGGCAGUGACAUCAGCAAGCUCUCUGCUAAUUGUGUCAGGCUAAGGGGAAUUCAGGAGUACGUUUCCGUGUAGAUGCAGGGAAGAUAAUAAACAGAAGAAAUAUCAGCCAAUAGUUGCUUUAUACCUGUAUUCAGUUUGUUUUGUUUCUGUAACAAGUGGCAAAUAUUAGUUCUAGUUAUUAAGAUAUUAGGUAAAUAAGUUUUUGCAAACUUGUUUGCAGGUACAUUUUCUUUGCAUUGUUUUUAGUUUAUCUUACAUGAUCCAAUAAUUAAAAUCAAUAUGGACAUUGAUGAAUCCCAUGAUCCCAGCUGGCCUCUAUGCUUUUGACAGAGGACUAACAGAUAAUCUAUCGAUUCUUAUAAUCUGAUAAUGUAAACAUUGACAGAUAAUUUGACUACUAAGUGAGUAAAUAAAAUGAAAACCCAGACCAAUUGGACGACUUCGACGCUGUCCCACGGGCACCAUAGGGUUCCGAUUUCCCCUCAUAAGAAGGAGAAGGAGAAGGAAAAGCCUAACUCUUUGAAGGUUGUGAGGGCAGCGCCGAAGGCAGAGUCGAAUACCGAUGCUAAGAGUGGAGUUCAGAAGUUUAGGGUCAAGCUGUUGCCUGAAAGUGGUGGCCAAGAGUGUCAUGGAUGUUCUCUGUAUGCCUUACUUCAAUAGCUGGGAAUAUCAUCAACUGAAACAAGUGAGAAAGUUGGGACAUUUUCACUUGCAUAUGCAGCUCACAAGGCCGCAUCUCCGAUAAAGUUUCUGCCUACAGUUGCCCUAACUCCAUUGUUGCUUCCUGGAUUUCAAGAAAGUAGAUAAAGAUAACUAAUCCCAGAAUAUAUGACUACUCUGUAUAUGACUUUUCUUCCAUUUGUGUAAUACCAGAAUAUGUUAUUGGAUACGUAGCAGAAUCAACUCUUUGUCAUUUCA